GAUGAACGCUGGCGGCGUGCCUAAUACAUGCAAGUCGAGCGAACAGACGAGAGUGCUUGCACUCUCUGACGUUAGCGGCGGACGGGUGAGUAACACGUGUGUAACCUACCUAUAAGACUGGGAUAACUUCGGGAAACCGGAGCUAAUACCGGAUAAUAUUUAGCUUCGCAUGAAGCAAUAGUGAAAGACGGUUCUGCUGUCACUUAUAGAUGGACCCGCGGUGUAUUAGCUAGUUGGUGAGGUAACGGCUCACCAAGGCAACGAUACAUAUCCGACCUGAGAGGGUGAUCGGCCACACUGGAACUGAGACACGGACCAGACUCCUACGGGAGGCAGCAGUAGGGAAUAUUCCGCAAUGGACGAAAGUCUGACGGAGCAAUGCCGCGUGAGUGAAGAAGGUUUUCGGAUCGUAAAACUCUGUUGUAAGGGAAGAACAAGUACGUUAGUAACUGAACGUACCUUGACGGUACCUUACCAGAAAGCCACGGCUAACUACGUG
RNAcentral lists this ribosomal RNA (499 nucleotides) under uncultured bacterium. Its description in RNAcentral is "partial 16S ribosomal RNA". It matches the Rfam family "Bacterial small subunit ribosomal RNA", at positions 28 to 507 of the family's 1533-position model. The record is from RNAcentral.